GGCGCAGCUGAUCAUCAAUGCCGCGUGCAGGAUGAAGGCCUUCGGGUUGUAAACUGCUUUUGUACGGAACGAAACGGUGGUCUCUAAUACAGGCUGCUAAUGACGGUACCGUAAGAAUAAGCACCGGCUAACUACGUGCCAGCAGCCGCGGUAAUACGUAGGGUGCAAGCGUUAAUCGGAAUUACUGGGCGUAAAGCGUGCGCAGGCGGUCAUAUAAGACAGAUGUGAAAUCCCCGGGCUCAACCUGGGACCUGCAUUUGUGACUGUAUGGCUAGAGUACGGCAGAGGGGGAUGGAAUUCCGCGUGUAGCAGUGAAAUGCGUAGAUAUGCGGAGGAACACCGAUGGCGAAGGCAAUCCCCUGGGCCUGUACUGACGCUCAUGCACGAAAGCGUGGGGAGCAAACAGGAUUAGAUACCCUGGUAGUCCACGCCCUAAACGAUGUCAACUGGUUGUUGGGUCUUCACUGACUCAGUAACGAAGCUAACGCGUGAAGUUGACCGCCUGGGGAGUACGGCCGCAAGGUUGAAACUCAGAGGAAUUGACGGGGACCCGCACAAGCG
This 561-nucleotide ribosomal RNA is filed under the name uncultured bacterium. RNAcentral describes it as "bacterial SSU rRNA". It matches the Rfam family "Bacterial small subunit ribosomal RNA", at positions 373 to 931 of the family's 1533-position model. The record is from RNAcentral.